Molecule: long non-coding RNA, 970 nt
Organism: Vitis riparia (riverbank grape)
Lineage: Eukaryota; Viridiplantae; Streptophyta; Magnoliopsida; Vitales; Vitaceae
Exons: 4
Source: RefSeq, a predicted model, not a curated record
GGGCCGGGGAGCUUAAGAAAGUAUUUAUCAGAUGAAAAUGAAGCUGUUUUGAACUGGAAACAAAGAAUUGGAAUAGCACUUGAUGUAGCGCAAGGGAAUUUGAAUUGUCGGACUGGAAUAUUUACAUAAUGGUUGCAAGACACCCAUAAUCCACAGAGACAUUAAAUCCGCAAACAUUUUACUAAAUGAAAAGAACAAAAAAUUGCAAGCUAAAGUGGCAGAUUUUGGGUUGUCUAGAAGUGUGCCUAAUGAAGAUCCUGCUUAUUUAUCAACUGUGGUCGUUGGCACAUGCCAUUACCUUGACCCCAAGUAUUUCUUAACGGCAGGGUUGAGUGAGGAAAAUGAUGUCUAUGGCUUUGGGAUUGUUCUAUUGGAGCUUAUUUCAGGCCAACCUGCAGUGGCAAAGAGCAGCGCGGGCACAGUUCACCUACUCCAAUGGGUUCCUCUCCUGCUCCUUGAUACGGGGGAAAUCACGGCUAUUGUGGAUCCAAGGUUAAAUAUUGAACGCUUUGACAUCUAUUCUGCCCGGAAGCUUGUACGAACAGCGAUGGCUUGUGUAAAACGUAACUCCCCGGAAAGGCCAAUCAUGAGUGAUGUAGCAGACAAAUUAAAACAGUGUAUGAACUAUUUAGCAAGAACAAUUGGGGAUGAGAAAAAGUAGUAUCCGCCUCAGUCCUUUUCACGCUGACUCUGAUAUCCAAUACCAUCUUUAACGAGGAUUCAGUCAAGAUUCUGAGCUAAGAUGCUGAGACCGAUGUGCCUCGAAACCCUCUGAGUCGAUGAUUGAGACUGCGACUUUGAACCAUGUCUUAGAGGCAAUAGCAUACCAAGCAAGGUAGAAAUAUUUGUAAAUGCAGCGCUUACCAUUGUUUUAAUGAUUAUUUCUCAGGCUUUGGUGAACAUCUAUAUGUAUUUUGAAUGAUAAUGCUCUUGCCAAUUCUAUAAAAUAAAUUGAACCCCAUCAUCUACC